AUUGAACGCUGGCGGCAGGUCUAACACAUGCAAGUCGAGCGGAUGAAGGGAGCUUGCUCCUGGAUUCAGCGGCGGACGGGUGAGUAAUGCCUAGGAAUCUGCCUGGUAGUGGGGGAUAACGUCCGGAAACGGGCGCUAAUACCGCAUACGUCCUGAGGGAGAAAGUGGGGGAUCUUCGGACCUCACGCUAUCAGAUGAGCCUAGGUCGGAUUAGCUAGUUGGUGGGGUAAAGGCCUACCAAGGCGACGAUCCGUAACUGGUCUGAGAGGAUGAUCAGUCACACUGGAACUGAGACACGGUCCAGACCCCUACGGGAGGCAGCAGUGGGGAAUAUUGGACAAUGGGCGAAAGCCUGAUCCAGCCAUGCCGCGUGUGUGAAGAAGGUCUUCGGAUUGUAAAGCACUUUAAGUUGGGAGGAAGGGCAGUAAGUUAAUACCUUGCUGUUUUGACGUUACCAACAGAAUAAGCACCGGCUAACUUCGUG
This 484-nucleotide ribosomal RNA is filed under the name uncultured bacterium. RNAcentral's name for it is "partial 16S ribosomal RNA". It matches the Rfam family "Bacterial small subunit ribosomal RNA", at positions 30 to 507 of the family's 1533-position model. The record is from RNAcentral.